RNAcentral lists this transfer RNA (69 nucleotides) under Fergusonina taylori (eucalypt gall-forming fly). Its description in RNAcentral is "tRNA-His". The record is from RNAcentral. Lineage: Eukaryota; Metazoa; Arthropoda; Insecta; Diptera; Fergusoninidae.
AUUUAAAUAGUUUAUUAAAAAUAUUGAUUUGUGGAGUCGAAGAUAUGAUCAUUAAAGUCAUUUUAAAUC